This is a long non-coding RNA of Chinchilla lanigera (long-tailed chinchilla), 1895 nucleotides long. The record is from Ensembl. Lineage: Eukaryota; Metazoa; Chordata; Mammalia; Rodentia; Chinchillidae.
CACUGGGCCAUCCCCUGUGUUUGUGGCUGGGAGUGCAGAAGGCAAUGGAGUAGACACAAGCCCUUGACCUCUGGGUGCUCCAGGCUAGCUGCAGAGACGGACAAGGAAGCAGGAGACCAACCUGCCGUGUGAUCUGUGCUCAGUGGGGGCAUGCUGAAGAGGACGGGCAGCUUCUAGAGGAGAAGAUGGCAGCUCUGACCUGGAGGACGAGCAGCAGCCAGGAAAAGGGGGCAGGUUCUACUACCCGGUUGGUUGUCAACAACCUGCUCAUCAGUCUUCAAGAUUCGGUGCUGUGCAGCCUCACCAUCUUGUGUGUGCUUCCAGGUUUCACAGAAUGGUUUUCUUCGGUGCUUAGAGAAAAUUCAAAGACUGGAAAGAUCCUGGAGGCACAAGGAGAAGGCAGAGAUGCAGAAAGAAGAAAGCUGAAAGGCUGAGUCUGAAAGCAUGAAGAAGAGGUGAGACAUGGGAGUUUUCAUUGCUCCAGAGUUGGGGUUGGGAAGGUAGGGUCAAAUGAUGGAAAUAGCAACAGGAAACUGGGAGACGGUGGGAUAAAGAAGGUUCAGGAGGACCCUGCUUGGAGAGUCUAAGACUCGAGGUUGAGGAGGAAGAACUCAUCACGCAAGCUGUGAGAACCACUGAGGAUUUCAGACCAGAAGAGUGAUCCGAUUACUGUUUCACUUUAGAUCAGAAAGAUAGUCAUGCUGGGAACAAUCAGUCAAUUUGAAGAUGGGAGGUGAGGUUAGGAGUUACGGAAGUAAUAUGAGAGUGGCUCUCACAACCAUCAAACUGCUAAUUUAGAUGUAUUCUCCCUUCACAGUACAGCACUCAGAUCAAGCAUACUUCCAUCCAUAUAAACUACUGAAAAAGUGCUCUGCUGAAGUUACCAUCACCAUUUGCAAUCUGCCCGUUACUUCCUAUCUGUGUUAUUGUAGCUCAUUUAUAACUGGGUAGGUGUCACCUGGGGAACUGACUUCAUGAUCCAGGCCCACAAGGAGUCCUGACCCUUCCUUUCACGUGUGGAAAAUGCUGAUCUUGAGCUGCGGUUUCCAGAAUGUGUUACAGGCCCCCGAGGAGCACAAAAGACAAUUUACUAAAAUGAAGGGCAAACUUUGUUCAGUGACAGUAUCUUAGCCCAUGACGUGUAUCUGAGGUGUGAUUAUUGCUAAUUAAAAUAAAGAGUAAAAUAACAGAACAGCUAUUUGCAUUGUUUCUCUUUCAUUCUGAUAAAAUGCUUAUUUUUGUGUAUGCUUUAAAAGAUCUACUACUAUAGUGGUCUAUAUUGAUGCUGGUGUACUACACAUGCACACAUCGCAGAGGUUUGCUAACAAAUUUUUAUGGAUAAGGAUGGAUCUUCAGGAAAGUUUGGCAACUACGAUGGGGGUACCUCAAAUAAUUCAGUUUAAUAAUGAAACAACAAACCUCAAUAUUCCCUUAAUGGAUUUCUCUGAAAUAUUGUAAUUCAAAUCUUUGUCUUUCCGCAUGGUCGUCUGUAGCCCGAAGCGCGUUCUGCAGUGAAGUCACGGUGCAUCCGCAUGGAAGUUCCUCUGGCUUGGCCUGCGGAGAACAGUGUCCCCUCCCCGGGUGCUGGGGCCAUCACUGCUGCUCCCUGUCUUGGCAAGGCAGAGCCCCUCUUGGGGUCUCAGUUUAUUCCUUAAAGUUAGCUGCUUUUCCUCAUAUUUCUUUUCAUUCACUUAGAUUUUAUUAUAAAUCUAUGAAUAUUUAGAAACUCUUUAAUUUUUUUGGACCCUCAGUUAACUUCAACAGGAAAAUGCUGGAGGUUUUAAAAUUCAUCUGGGACCUGCCUGCACUCCCCCUUUGGCUCUGUUCGCCGUGAAAGCAUUUGAGGGUUUAUCUUUCUAUCAGGAAGCUUUAGAAGCACAACCCCUACCUAAUCA